GUCCCCAUAGCUUAACUGGACAAAGCGCAUCCCUGCGGAGGAUGAGAGUGAGAGUUCGAAUCUCUCUGGGGACACCA
RNAcentral lists this transfer RNA (77 nucleotides) under Candidatus Cloacimonadota bacterium. RNAcentral describes it as "tRNA-Arg". It matches the Rfam family "tRNA". Rfam says of the family: Transfer RNA (tRNA) molecules are approximately 80 nucleotides in length. Their secondary structure includes four short double-helical elements and three loops (D, anti-codon, and T loops). Further hydrogen bonds mediate the characteristic L-shaped molecular structure. tRNAs have two regions of fundamental functional importance: the anti-codon, which is responsible for specific mRNA codon recognition, and the 3' end, to which the tRNAs corresponding amino acid is attached (by aminoacyl-tRNA synthetases). tRNAs cope with the degeneracy of the genetic code in two manners: having more than one tRNA (with a specific anti-codon) for a particular amino acid; and 'wobble' base-pairing, i.e. permitting non-standard base-pairing at the 3rd anti-codon position. The record is from RNAcentral. Lineage: Bacteria; Pseudomonadati; Candidatus Cloacimonadota.